This 460-nucleotide ribosomal RNA is filed under the name uncultured bacterium. Its description in RNAcentral is "partial 16S ribosomal RNA". It matches the Rfam family "Bacterial small subunit ribosomal RNA", at positions 338 to 795 of the family's 1533-position model. The record is from RNAcentral.
CCUACGGGAGGCAGCAGUGAGGAAUAUUGGUCAAUGGGCGCGAGCCUGAACCAGCCACGUAGCGUGAAGGAUGACUGCCCUACGGGUUGUAACCUUCUUUUAUAAAGGAAUAAAGUGAGGCACGUGUGCCUUUUUGUAUGUACUUUAUGUUUAAGGAUCGGCUAACUCCGUGACAGCAGCCGCGGUAAUACGGAGGAUCCGAGCGUUAUCCGGAUUUAGUGGGUUUAAAGGGAGCGUAGAGGGGUUGUUAAGUCAGUUGUGAAAGUUUGCGGCUCAACCGUAAAAUUGCAAUUGAUACUGGCAGUCUUGAGUACAGUUGAGGUAGGCGGAAUUCGUGGUGUAGCGGUGAAAUGCUUAGAUAUCACGAAGAACUCCGAUUGCGAAGGCAGCUUACUAAACUGCCACUGACAUUGAUGCUCGAAAGUGUGGGUAUCAAACAGGAUUAGAUACCCGAGUAGUC